GCGGGUGUAGCUCAACGGCUAGAGCGCCUGGCUUCCACCCAGGAGACGCGAGUUCGAUUCUCGCCACCCGCU
This 72-nucleotide transfer RNA is filed under the name Myxococcales bacterium. RNAcentral's name for it is "tRNA-Gly". It matches the Rfam family "tRNA". Rfam says of the family: Transfer RNA (tRNA) molecules are approximately 80 nucleotides in length. Their secondary structure includes four short double-helical elements and three loops (D, anti-codon, and T loops). Lineage: Bacteria; Pseudomonadati; Myxococcota; Myxococcia; Myxococcales. The record is from RNAcentral.